Non-coding RNA from Parasteatoda tepidariorum (common house spider), 1378 nucleotides. NCBI's taxonomy places the organism in Eukaryota, Metazoa, Arthropoda, Arachnida, Araneae, Theridiidae. The record is from RefSeq and is a predicted model, not a curated record.
AGGCAGAAAAAGAAGAAUGUAUCUAUACAACGCCAGCAAUAUAUCUCUCAACGUAUGAGCACGCAGAGUUAGAACUACGAACGCAUAGAGAGCUAGCAAUUUAUGAGGUACCUGACAGAGGGAGGUUUAUAAUGGAUGGAGAAAAAUUAUGGAGAGGUUCCGGAGAUGGAAAUUCCAGCACAGAGUCCGAUAAUGAUGAUUUGAUAUUUUCUCUGCACUCAGCUGAUGAUGUCAUUUUAAGAGAAGAAGCGAGAGAGUCUGAAACUGAGUGUGAUCGACUAUGGAAAACCUAUGAAGUUCCACGUUGCAAAGAAAUGGGUCGUUGGAAAGACGGAGUGUUAGCUCCAUCAUAAUUUCAGAACCAAUAAGUAUUACUUGCAUUAUACACCAGGAGCUUGAAAAACUUAUACAAAGCCUGAUCAAGAAAAGAAAACGGCUCAAUUUGUUAACAACAUAGGUCCAUCAUUUUGUUCUGUUCAAAAGAGUUGAAAAUAUGAAAGCAAUGUAAAAUAUUUUAUUUACGUUGAAACGCUAAGGAGAGAAAUUAUUAAAGGAAGUGCUGAAAUAUAUAAAAAUAUCGUGGAGUAUUUAUUUUUAGGUUGAAGCAUCAGGCGGAGGAAUUAUUCAAAGCAUUAAAACAACAUGAAUGAUUUUUUUUUUGUUGAAGCAACAGGCAGGAACUAUUGACGAAAUUGUUGAAAUAUAUAAAAUAUCAUAAAGAACUUUUUGCUUGUGUUGAAACACCUAACAGAUGAUUUAUUGCAGAAAAUGUUGAAAUGUAUAAAAAUAUCGCGGAAUUUGUUGUAUCGCGUUUAUGUUGAAACACUAGACGGAGGAAUUAUUCAGAAAGUGUUGAUAAGCAUUAAAACAACAUGGAUGAUUUUUUGUUGUUGAUACAACAGGCAGGAGCUAUUGACGAAAUUGUUGAAAUAUAUAAAAUAUCAUAGAGAACUUUUUAUUUGUGUUGAAACACCAAGCAAAUGAUUUAUUGAAAAAAAUAUUGAAAUAUAUAAAAAUAUCACGGAAUUUGUUGUAUCGCGUUUAUGUUGAAACACUAGACGGUGGAAUUGUUGAAGAAAUUGUUGAAAUAUAUGAAGAUAUCGUGGAAUAUUGUUUUAUUUACGUUGAAACAUGAAAGUAAUUUGUUCUGAAUAUUGAAAUGAGCUGACACUCGGUCUGGAAAGAAGCUUCGCAUUUUAGAAAGCUUCCUUUUUUAAGAAAAGUUAUGAUCAAAAAGGUUCUAUUUUUAGUAGAAAAGAUUUGUACUUCCUCUUUGUAUAAACUUGUUUAAUGACAAAACUUUUCAAUCCAUAUGAUGAUGUUACACUUUUAUCUUAAAUUUACGUAUGUGUACAAUAAAAGAAUAUUGAUGUUUUAA